GGGUUGGUAGCUCAGUCGGUAGAGCAAUGCCCUGAAAAGGCAUGUGUCGGCGGUUCGAUUCCGUCCCAACCCACCA
RNAcentral lists this transfer RNA (76 nucleotides) under Pseudomonadota bacterium. Its description in RNAcentral is "tRNA-Phe". It matches the Rfam family "tRNA". Rfam says of the family: Transfer RNA (tRNA) molecules are approximately 80 nucleotides in length. RNAcentral also lists the same sequence under 4 other names. Lineage: Bacteria; Pseudomonadati; Pseudomonadota. The record is from RNAcentral.